UAAAAAUUAAUCCCAAAUUUAAAAAAAAUAUAACAAUAAAUUUAUCAAUUAAACUCAGAAUCGCUGUAUUACUGAUAUUAUUAUAUAAGUUCUGUUAUAAAAUUCUAGUUCUCUAGUGACGGCCAGAAUUCGUAGAUUUGUAGAACAGAGUCUCUUCUCUGUCCUCCACAAAUGCAGACCUAUUUACUGAUCACCUCUUCCAAUCCAAUCCCAAAUGAUCAUCCAUGGGCUCCUCCAAAGUCGGCGCUUUGCUCCCAAAUCCGCCGUUGCCUUCUUUGAAUCCAGCAAUCUGCAAUCCGCCCGUCAACUGUUCGAUCAAAUUCUUCAACCGGACACCGUUCUCUGGAACGUCAUGUUCAAAGGCUACGCAGAGGCCGGCCUCCACAGAGAGACGCUGCUGCCAUUCUCUCAAAUGAAGAGGAGGGAUGAGAUCAGGUUCACUGUUUUGAUUUAAGAACUGGCCUCAGAUCAAACUUAUUUGUCGGAACUUCCCUAAUUGAAAGACAUGGAGAUAUGGCCGCCGCGGAGGAGUUCUUUGCUAGUAUGCCAGUGCACGAUGUCCAAUCUUGGAAUACUAUCCUGUUUGGCGAUGCCGAUGGGGAAGAUAUUGGGGCUUGUGUGAGGUUCUUCGCAAUCAUGCCUGUUAAGAAUGUGUUUUAAUGGAAUGGGCUGAUUUGAGGGCAUGCUCGACACAGUUAGCUCGGGACUAAUAUUUGGUGUUGGUGUGGAUGGUUUCACAGAUUUGGAGGUUCAUGAUGUCAGCUGAUACAUCCUUGCCUGGCAAGAUUAAUACAAAGCAAAUGCGGCUACUUAGAGCCUUGCCGGAGCUCCAAGGAUAACUGGGUAAAGGGGGACGGAGAAACUGGUAAUUAAGAGAAAACCUGAGCUAUAUUUUCCUUUUUCCCGUUUGGUUUUCAUUUAUUACUAUAUCCUAUUUCUAACAAUAUUUCAUGAAUAAUGUAUACUGCUAUGGCACUUGGCGCUAGCUAAAUAAAAAUCCAAACUUCAUGAUCAUUGAAAUAAUAAAUAGAAGCAAAUUUUGGCAGAACAUCUAAAUCAGUGCGAUAACAUUAAGCUUGUGUU
Phalaenopsis equestris is the source of this 1083-nucleotide RNA transcript. It is a transcript of the gene named pentatricopeptide repeat-containing protein At3g49710-like, with no coding region annotated. The transcript has 4 exons. The record is from RefSeq and is a predicted model, not a curated record. Lineage: Eukaryota; Viridiplantae; Streptophyta; Magnoliopsida; Asparagales; Orchidaceae.